This 663-nucleotide ribosomal RNA is filed under the name Triticum aestivum (bread wheat). RNAcentral describes it as "partial small subunit ribosomal RNA". Lineage: Eukaryota; Viridiplantae; Streptophyta; Magnoliopsida; Poales; Poaceae. The record is from RNAcentral.
AUGGAAUUCAUAAGCCUGUGGCCUCGGGUCCAGGACGUGCAGCUACAAGAAGGGACCCCGGACACCAUUAGCUGGGCUUGGGAGCGGGAUGGCCAUUACUCUGCUCGAUCGGCAUAUGCCGCUAAGUUCAUGGGAAGAUAGCUAGUCCCAACCGCAGAGGCAACAUGGAAGUGUCGGGCCCCCCUGCAGUGCCGUUUUUUCACAUGGCUCGCGAUACGCAACAGGUGCUAGACCUCGGACCGCUUGGCGAGGAGGGGACUGCCACACCAACAAUCAUGCCCACUUUGUAGCCAGGGCGGCGAGACAAUGAACCACAUUAUGCUCUAGUGCGUCUUCGCAAGGACCUUCUGGGAGGAGAUCUUCCAUGCUUUGGGGAUGCCGCAAUGGACGCCGACUCCACAAGACACCCUGUCGGAGUGGAUCCUCAACAAGCGGGUACAAGGCACCAAUGAGAAGCAUGUGAGGGCCAUCAUUAUACUUGGCCUAUGGGAACUGUGGAAGCACCGCAAUGGGAUUGUGUUUGACGGUGAAACACCAUGCUUGGGUAGAUUACUAGCAUGGGUCCUUAGUGAGGGCAAGGCUUGGAAGACGGCGGGCCUCCUGAAAGCGGAUUUGGGAGAACUUUUCAGGCGGAUACAUAGGUGGGAGUCUAGUGAAACGUAG